UACAGAGGUCCCGAGCGUUGUUCGGAUUCACUGGGCGUAAAGGGUGCGUAGGCGGUAGGGUAAGUCUAAUGUGAAAUCCCGGAGCUCAACUCCGGAACUGCAUCGGAUACUAUCCAACUAGAGGAUUGGAGGGGGGACUGGAAUUCUCGGUGUAGCAGUGAAAUGCGUAGAUAUCGAGAGGAACACCAGUGGCGAAGGCGAGUCCCUGGACAAUUCCUGACGCUGAGGCACGAAAGCUAGGGGAGCAAACAGG
This 253-nucleotide ribosomal RNA is filed under the name uncultured bacterium. RNAcentral describes it as "partial 16S ribosomal RNA". It matches the Rfam family "Bacterial small subunit ribosomal RNA", at positions 524 to 776 of the family's 1533-position model. The record is from RNAcentral.